RNAcentral lists this long non-coding RNA (230 nucleotides) under Manihot esculenta (cassava). RNAcentral's name for it is "long non-coding RNA (MESC_LNC002667)". The record is from RNAcentral. Lineage: Eukaryota; Viridiplantae; Streptophyta; Magnoliopsida; Malpighiales; Euphorbiaceae.
CUAGGUUUAAUUCCCAAUUUCAUAUAAUGUCUCCAAGGAAAGUGAAAAAAUAAGGGCCGAGAUAGAGGAAUCUAUUGUUUAGUAAUCCAAAAAUAGUCCCCUGGAAACAAGUCUUAUGGGUUGCCUUUAAACCAAUGCCACUAACUAUCCACAACAUAUUUCUUUUAUAGAUUUCCUUCUCUGGAACUAUAUUUCUCAUUGCAUAUUCCUUCCAACGGAGCAAUCCUCAG